GGGUGCGUAGCUCAGCGGGAGAGCACCGUCUUCACACGGCGGGGGUCGCAAGUUCAAUCCUUGCCGCACCCACCA
Molecule: transfer RNA, 75 nt
Filed under: Alphaproteobacteria bacterium
Lineage: Bacteria; Pseudomonadati; Pseudomonadota; Alphaproteobacteria
Description: tRNA-Val
Rfam family: tRNA
About the family: Transfer RNA (tRNA) molecules are approximately 80 nucleotides in length.
Source: RNAcentral